GCGCCUCUGCUCCGUUCCCCGCGGGUCUCCUCGGUGUGCCAUGGACGGCAUCGUCCCAGACAUAGCAGUCGGUACAAAGCGGGGAUCCGACGAGCUCUUUUCCACGUGUGUCAGCAACGGCCCCUUCAUCAUGAGCAGCUCCACCUCAGCAGCCAAUGGAAACGAUAGCAAGAAGUUCAAAGGUGACAACAGGAGCGCAGGAGUCCCUUCCAGAGUCAUUCAUGUCCGAAAGCUACCCAGCGAUGUUACUGAGGGCGAGGUCAUCUCCCUGGGGCUGCCCUUUGGGAAGGUUACCAAUCCUUAUGCUGAAGGGGAAGAACCAGGCCUUCAUUGAAAUGAAUACAGAGGAGGCUGCCAACACUAUGGUUAACUACUACACGUCGGUGGCGCCAGUGCUUCGUGGACAGCCCAUCUAUAUCCAGUUCUCCAACCACAAAGAGCUCAAGACUGACAGCUCGCCCAACCAGGCUGUGAACUCCGUCCAGUCUGGAAACCUGGCCUUGGCAGCCUCCGCUGCUGCCGUGGACGCAGGAAUGGCAAUGGCAGGCCAGAGCCCAGUGCUCAGGAUCAUUGUGGAAAACCUUUUCUACCCAGUGACCCUGGACGUGCUGCACCAGAUCUUCUCUAAGUUUGGCACAGUCCUGAAGAUCAUCACGUUCACCAAGAACAACCAGUUCCAGGCACUGCUGCAGUACGCUGACCCUGUGAGCGCCCAGCACGCCAAACUGUCCCUGGAUGGCCAGAACAUCUACAACGCCUGCUGCACGCUUCGCAUCGAUUUCUCCAAGCUCACCAGUCUCAACGUCAAAUACAACAAUGAUAAGAGCAGAGACUACACUCGACCUGACCUGCCCUCUGGAGACAGCCAACCUUCGCUGGACCAGACCAUGGCAGCAGCCUUUGGCCUCUCUGUCCCUAAUGUCCAUGGAGCCCUGGCCCCCCUGGCCAUCCCGUCUGCUGCUGCUGCUGCUGCGGCUGGCCGCAUUGCCAUCCCAGGGUUGGCAGGUGCUGGGAAUUCCGUCCUUUUGAUCAGCAACCUGAACCCUGAGAGAGUCACACCCCAAAGCCUCUUUAUUCUCUUCGGUGUCUAUGGUGAUGUGCAACGGGUGAAGAUCCUGUUCAAUAAGAAGGAGAAUGCACUUGUGCAGAUGGCAGACGGCAGCCAGGCCCAACUGGCCAUGAGCCACCUGAAUGGGCACAAGCUGCACGGGAAGUCAGUGCGCAUCACACUGUCAAAGCAUCAGAGUGUGCAGCUGCCUCGGGAGGGUCAGGAGGACCAGGGCCUGACCAAGGAUUAUGGCAGCUCCCCGCUCCACCGCUUCAAGAAACCAGGCUCCAAGAACUUCCAGAACAUCUUUCCACCCUCAGCUACCCUGCACCUCUCCAACAUCCCGCCUUCUGUGUCAGAGGAUGACCUCAAGAGCCUCUUCUCCAGCAAUGGUGGUGUGGUCAAGGGCUUCAAGUUCUUCCAGAAGGACCGCAAGAUGGCACUGAUCCAGAUGGGCUCUGUGGAGGAGGCAGUGCAGGCGCUGAUUGAACUGCACAACCAUGACCUGGGCGAGAACCACCACCUGCGAGUGUCCUUUUCCAAGUCCACCAUCUAGGUGCCUGUGGGCCUGCAUCAGCUUCCACCAUUCCAGAAAAGCCACUUUAAAAAGCAGCUGAAGUGACCUUACAGACCAGAGAUUUUAUUUUUUUAAAGAGAGAUCAGUUUACCUGUUUUUAAAAAAAUUAAAUCUAGCCCACUCUACCGUGGCAGGAAAUGGCUUGGGCCACAGAGGCCCAGUCAAUCCCAGCACCAUGCCUUGAGGGGCUCAGGCGUGAGGCCACAGCGGUGCCCCAAACACAGCCGCUUUCUGUGCCUUACAAACCAGCGUGCCUCACGGCUGUACACCUAUCCUCUAAGGCCACCAGCUGUCUCUAGACCUGCAGGUGAGCCAGGUGGCCUAUAUAUAGGCUCCCCAAUGCUGUGCAAGAGCUGGGGCCAUUCCCCUACACCCUUAUAAUCAAGUGACAUGAUUCUCCCAUGUCCCUGGCCAGCCCAGAGGGCCUAGGCCAUCCUC
Mus pahari (shrew mouse) is the source of this 2063-nucleotide RNA transcript. It is a transcript of the gene named polypyrimidine tract-binding protein 1 pseudogene, with no coding region annotated. The record is from RefSeq and is a predicted model, not a curated record. The transcript has a single exon. Lineage: Eukaryota; Metazoa; Chordata; Mammalia; Rodentia; Muridae.